This 251-nucleotide ribosomal RNA is filed under the name uncultured prokaryote. Its description in RNAcentral is "partial 16S rRNA". It matches the Rfam family "Bacterial small subunit ribosomal RNA", at positions 525 to 775 of the family's 1533-position model. The record is from RNAcentral.
ACGGGGGGAGCAAGCGUUGUUCGGAAUCAUUGGGCGUAAAGGGCGUGUAGGCGGCUAGAUAAGUCAGAUGUGAAAUCCCUGGGCUUAACCCAGGAAGUGCAUUUGAAACUGUUUGGCUUGAGUAGGGGAGAGGAAAGUGGAAUUCCUGGUGUAGAGGUGAAAUUCGUAGAUAUCAGGAGGAACACCGGUGGCGAAGGCGACUUUCUGGCCCGGUACUGACGCUGAGGCGCGAAAGCGUGGGUAGCAAACAG